RNAcentral lists this ribosomal RNA (449 nucleotides) under uncultured bacterium. RNAcentral describes it as "partial 16S ribosomal RNA". It matches the Rfam family "Bacterial small subunit ribosomal RNA", at positions 29 to 523 of the family's 1533-position model. The record is from RNAcentral.
AGCGAACGCUGGCGGCAGGCCUAACACAUGCAAGUCGAACGAACCCUUCGGGGUUAGUGGCGGACGGGUGAGUAACACGUGGGAACGUGCCUUUAGGUUCGGAAUAACUCAGGGAAACUUGUGCUAAUACCGAAUGUGCCCUUCGGGGGAAAGAUUUAUCGCCUUUAGAGCGGCCCGCGUCUGAUUAGCUAGUUGGUGAGGUAAUGGCUCACCAAGGCUACGAUCAGUAGCUGGUCUGAGAGGAUGACCAGCCACAUUGGGACUGAGACACGGCACAAACUCCUACGGGAGGCAGCAGUGGGGAAUCUUGCGCAAUGGGCGAAAGCCUGACGCAGCCAUGCCGCGUGGAUGAUGAAGGUCUUAGGAUUGUAAAAUCCUUUCACCGGUGAAGAUAAUGACUGUAGCCGGAGAAGAAGCCCCGGCUAACUUCGUGCCAGCCGCCGCUGUAA